RNAcentral lists this ribosomal RNA (425 nucleotides) under uncultured bacterium. Its description in RNAcentral is "partial 16S ribosomal RNA". It matches the Rfam family "Bacterial small subunit ribosomal RNA", at positions 354 to 796 of the family's 1533-position model. The record is from RNAcentral.
GUGGGGAAUAUUGGACAAUGGGCGAAAGCCUGAUCCAGCCAUGCCGCGUGAGUGAUGAAGGCCUUAGGGUUGUAAAGCUCUUUUGUCCGGGAAGAUAAUGACUGUACCGGAAGAAUAAGCCCCGGCUAACUUCGUGCCAGCAGCCGCGGUAAUACGAAGGGGGCUAGCGUUGUUCGGAAUCACUGGGCGUAAAGCGCACGUAGGCGGACCAUUAAGUCAGGGGUGAAAGCCUGGAGCUCAACUCCAGAACUGCCUUUGAUACUGAUGGUCUCGAGUAUGGAAGAGGUUGGUGGAACUGCGAGUGUAGAGGUGAAAUUCGUAGAUAUUCGCAAGAACACCGGUGGCGAAGGCGGCCAACUGGUCCAUUACUGACGCUGAGGUGCGAAAGCGUGGGGAGCAAACAGGAUUAGAUACCCCAGUAGUCC